Small nuclear RNA from Malania oleifera, 142 nucleotides. RefSeq annotates it as U4 spliceosomal RNA. The record is from RefSeq and is a predicted model, not a curated record. NCBI's taxonomy places the organism in Eukaryota, Viridiplantae, Streptophyta, Magnoliopsida, Santalales, Ximeniaceae. The transcript has a single exon.
AUUUUUGCGCUUGGGGCAAUGACGCAGCUAGUGAGGUAAUAACCGUGGUGCAUCAAUUGUUGGUUGAAAACUAUUUCCAAGCCCCCUCUUCGGGCUAGGCCAAACCCAGGCCGUCAAGAAUUUCUGGAGGCUCCCCUCUAGG